GACCUCUGAACCUCCCUAAAAUACUUCAGGACUUCUGAGUAAGAGGAAACAGCAAGUAGGAAAAACAUAAGAUUGAAUCUCUGAGUAGGAAAGCGGCAGACUCUGAAAUGGAGAAGAGUGCUCUUCCUAAGCCUCUUCAGAAGGAAGAGAAACCAGCACUGCUGCAUCCAGCAGAGAUGAGAAGAGAGAUCCAGUACUAGGUCGAGAGAAUGACACACAGCAGUGUUGCUUGGAGCUGACCUUUUCGUACAGCAAUGCAAGAGCUGAGAUAAAGGAGUGACUAAUGCUGGAAAAAGGAAUUUUUUCCGAGAAGGAAAUUCCAGCAGAUGAUGCUGCCAAAAGCACAAAGAAUGCAGUCAGCCUCUUGAAAGCAAAAUAACUCCCAGGGCACUGCUUGUCAAGACUCUUCAGGGCAUUCUCUUGUGUGGAUUCUCAGACACGUAGGAUGGGCUGUGUGCUCUUGACAUUGCUGCCAUGGCUGUGGAGCAGAGGAGCUACUGGGCUGUGCAUCACACGCACACCUGGACCUUUGCAACUCCACGAAUUAUUGGAGAGAGAGACAUCAUCAGAAAGUAUGAAAACAUUGAGGAUAAAUUCCCUGAUGCCAUCAUUAGGAGUCUGUAAGAAAGAGAGGCACUAUUCAUAAGAGCAGAAACUUUAUCUACACCUUCACAUCUUCAGUGGCCAGAAAAGUGCAGUAGAUGAAAGGAAUGUGCAAAAGCAAUGAAGGACCAAAGAAGCAGAAGCAGGAGCUCUUCCUGAAGCUGAAGCAGUAGAGCAGCACAGAGAUUAAUACUUUGGCUUGGAGAUGGGCAACACCUUCUAAUUCAGCCUGUUCUUCACCAGACAGUGUGAUUCCUCUGUACCACCACAGGAAAUUAUUUCACCCUCAAGCUAAUCUGAUUUUUUGACUGCCAUCCAAUCAGAAUUAAAAAAAAAAAAAAAAAAAGAAAUAAAGAAAAAAAGGAAGCCACUAAAACUGGUUUAAUAAUUUUUAAAGAGAUUUUAAAUGAUACUCACUUUAUCAAGCUGAUGAAAAUGACAGUAGUGUCAGAGGGUAACAGGUUGCUAAUAAAUACAAUAGUUUAGGAAAGUGCUAUUCUUGUCAUGGAAAAAUAUAUUCUGAGAAAAAUAAUACCACUGUAAUUCAUUUUGGAAAGCUAAAAAGGAAGCCACUAAAACUGGUUUAAUAAUUUUUAAAGAGAUUUUAAAUGAUACUCACUUUAUCAAGCUGAUGAAAAUGACAGUAGUGUCAGAGGGUAACAGGUUGCUAAUAAAUACAAUAGUUUAGGAAAGUGCUAUUCUUGUCAUGGAAAAAUAUAUUCUGAGAAAAAUAAUACCACUGUAAUUCAUUUUGGAAAGCUAUAGAGACAUCUUAGAUGAGGAAUGCAGUUAUUAAAGGCAAAAGUACACAAUAUGUUGUAAUGAAAUGGUUGUGCUACACACUUCAUUAAACGUUUUGUGAGGCACCUGGGAAAUUCCAGCUCUCCCCCCUCAGAAGGAAGAGUUUGACGUGGCUGGAUCACUGGAGGAAGCACACAGAAAACUGAAACAGGCUGAAACAGAAAACACACUGCCUGCCUUGGUGACUCCAGCCUGCAAGCAAAGCUGAGUGUGAGCAAAGAUUAACCAAGGGGCUACAGGAAUCUGCAUUUACUCUUCCAGUGCAAAAAUUAUGGUUCCAGGAUUCACUGAGGAAGACCUGAACACUCCCAGCGUUCAAAAAGAAGUUGAUGUGAGCAAAGCUGAAGUUCGUUGUGAGCGACAGCGCUGGGGAAAAUCCGACAGACUGUGCUGUGCACGUGUCCAUUGGAAGAAAACACACUUGUCAUAUGAGAGGCUGAAAGGCUUAAAAAUUCAGAGAGCACAGUAGGGAGUCUUCCAGGAAGAUUCAAAGGACUGAUAUGUUUUGAAUGUGUUGGGUGUUUGAUUUACAAUAUUUAAGAGUAGAAAAUAAAGCGGAAAAAAAACCCAGAGAAAUUUUGUAUGGAUCUUAGAGAAACAGGAGCUCAGGAAGGGCAGAUGUGCUGGAAUAUCUAUGAUAUUUGCAUGAUAAUUUCAGAAGCUCACCCUUUUCAUAAAAAACAACCCCCCAAAACACCCAAACAAAAUAAAGAAAAACAAGCCCCUAAUCCUGUACUUGAACAUUAUGAGCAUUGCUGAAAUGAUACUGUUUACAAAGCAUGUUUUAUAGUUCUAGUUCACUUUAAUCCACUAUUCUUUCAGACAUGCAGCAGGAGCACAUUACAGACAAAAGCCAGACAGAAGAAACUGCUUGUAUCACAGAAGCAAGGGAGCUGCUGAAGUGCUGGUCCUUCCUUCAGAAUAUUUACAAUCGUGGUGGAAACUUGAGGACACACCCAGCAGAGUGAACAAGAGCAAGAUGAAGAUAUUGUUGCACAAUGUUAUAGAAAUAAUAUGCAAUAUCACCAGUGAUAGUUUCUCUUUUUGCUCAUGGUUUAUCAAUGCUUGCAGUGUACUAAUCUGUUUUCCAUUAACUACGAUUUACAAUAUCAUUUGAAAACUCAUACAAGAAAAUAAAGUUUAAAAUUUUAAAUUAAUAAU
Molecule: long non-coding RNA, 2565 nt
Organism: Ficedula albicollis (Collared flycatcher)
Lineage: Eukaryota; Metazoa; Chordata; Aves; Passeriformes; Muscicapidae
Source: Ensembl